Molecule: non-coding RNA, 372 nt
Organism: Myxocyprinus asiaticus (Chinese sucker)
Lineage: Eukaryota; Metazoa; Chordata; Actinopteri; Cypriniformes; Catostomidae
Source: the annotation of a RefSeq genome assembly
AUGUUUGAAUGUGUGUUGUGUAAAGAUGUGUUUGUGAUCAUGUGUUUAAAGUGCAGCAUCACUCGUCCUAAAGUGAGCGUCCUGCCGCCCUCCAGUGAAGAGAUUUCCACAAAGAACACAGCAACACUGAUGUGUGUGGCCAACAAGGGCUUCCCCUCAGACUGGAGCCUGAGCUGGAAGGUGGACGGGAGCAGCAGGUCUGAGAAGAGCAGUGCUGGGGUCCUGGAGAAGGACGGUCUGUACAGCUGGAGCAGCAGUCUGACUCUCUCUCAGGAGGAGUGGAUGAAGGCGGUCACAGUGAGCUGUGAGGCCAAACAGAAAGACCAGCUGUCAGUCACUGGAGAAGUGAGGAGAGAUCAGUGUUCUGAGUAG